AGAAUGGGGAGCUUUGUGAGGGGAGGGUUUAUUUUUUAGGAAAAUGCUAACUAGUGCCCCUGGGGCACUGGUUAAGGAGCUAAAUAAGGUAUGAAUGUUUUGGAAAUUGUGUAAUCUACUUUUUAUAAGUAUAAAAAAAUGCUUUUUUCAAUGCAAAAAUUACUCCUUUUGGUAUCCUUAACUAGUGCCCCGGGGGCACUGGUUAGCAUGACCCUAUUUUUUAUCAUAAUACAAAAUUGCAUUGGAGGCGGAUUUUGGAGGGUUUUGAUAAAUUCUUCAAAUUCAAUCUUUGUUGUUAUAAUAUGUUCAAUAUUAAUCAUAAACAUUCAUUUAUCAUUCGUUGCAAAAAUAUUAUUAAAGAUUUCUCUAAUUUUUCCUCUAUUCAUCUCCCCCAAAUUCCUAUCAUUUCCACCCCUCCAACCUCCCAAAAAUAGUCUAAAGGGUUUGAGAGGAGAAUUUUUUAGGGGAUGGGAAGGGAGGAAAAAUUUUCUUUUCUAAAUUACCCAAACUAUAAAAUAUUCUAAAAACGAAUGAAGUGUGAUUGAAUUGUUAUAUGAUCAUAUAUUCGUUCAAUAUUUUUUAAAUCUAAAAUAUAUAUUGAAUUAUAGACCUAGCCCUCCAAAAUUCCCCUCCCAAACGGAUCCAUAAGAAGUUGAUCUCCUUUAUAUAUUUUUUCAUAUGUAUUGGUCAGAGAUCGAAAUUUGAACAAAUGAGAUCCUUUUGCUAUCCUAUGUAUGGUGACUUAAAGAUAGAAAAAAAAAAGUAAUUAAAAAACGAGAUCUUAUAUACACCAUAUAAAUAUACGGUGUUGGACAACUAAAAAGUUAUCAAAAUAACAUUUCUAAUAGUUUAAACAACAAAAAACCCAUCAAUUUAGUACAGAAAGUAUCAC
Molecule: long non-coding RNA, 892 nt
Filed under: Trifolium pratense (red clover)
Lineage: Eukaryota; Viridiplantae; Streptophyta; Magnoliopsida; Fabales; Fabaceae
Description: long non-coding RNA (TPRA_LNC001632)
Source: RNAcentral